This 338-nucleotide unclassified non-coding RNA is filed under the name plant metagenome. RNAcentral describes it as "partial contains small subunit ribosomal RNA, internal transcribed spacer 1, and 5.8S ribosomal RNA". The record is from RNAcentral.
UUUCCGUAGGUGAACCUGCGGAAGGAUCAUUAUUGAAUAUACUUGAUGGGUUGUAGCUGGCUCUCCGGAGCAUUGUGCACACCUGUCUUGUUUUUUUAUUCAUCCACCUGUGCACUUUUUGUAGUCUUCUAGGGAUUGAGAGCAGCCAACUAUCGAGUCUUCUCGGAUGUGAGGAAUGCUUGCGCAAAAAAAAAGUGCAGCUCUCUUCAAAUGGUUGUGAACCUUCCCUGGAGUCUAUGUUUUUCAUAUACCACAUAGCAUGUUGUAGAAUGUAUUCAAUGGGCCUUUGUGCCUAUAAAUGAUCUAUACAACUUUCAGCAACGGAUCUCUUGGCUCUC